GGGCCCAUAGCUCAGAUGGCAGAGCCACCGGCUCAUAACCGGUCGGUCCCUGGUUCGAAUCCAGGUGGGCCCACCA
RNAcentral lists this transfer RNA (76 nucleotides) under Desulfobacterales bacterium. Its description in RNAcentral is "tRNA-Ile". It matches the Rfam family "tRNA". From Rfam's summary of the family: Transfer RNA (tRNA) molecules are approximately 80 nucleotides in length. Their secondary structure includes four short double-helical elements and three loops (D, anti-codon, and T loops). Further hydrogen bonds mediate the characteristic L-shaped molecular structure. tRNAs have two regions of fundamental functional importance: the anti-codon, which is responsible for specific mRNA codon recognition, and the 3' end, to which the tRNAs corresponding amino acid is attached (by aminoacyl-tRNA synthetases). tRNAs cope with the degeneracy of the genetic code in two manners: having more than one tRNA (with a specific anti-codon) for a particular amino acid; and 'wobble' base-pairing, i.e. permitting non-standard base-pairing at the 3rd anti-codon position. The record is from RNAcentral. Lineage: Bacteria; Pseudomonadati; Thermodesulfobacteriota; Desulfobacteria; Desulfobacterales.